This 253-nucleotide ribosomal RNA is filed under the name uncultured bacterium. RNAcentral's name for it is "partial 16S ribosomal RNA". It matches the Rfam family "Bacterial small subunit ribosomal RNA", at positions 524 to 776 of the family's 1533-position model. The record is from RNAcentral.
UACGGAGGGUGCGAGCGUUGUUCGGAAUCACUGGGCGUAAAGCGCGUGUAGGCGGCCCACUAAGUCUGAUGUGAAAGCCCGGGGCUCACCCCCGGAAGUGCAUUGGAAACUGGUGGACUCGAGUCCCGGAGAGGAGAGUGGAAUUCCUGGUGUAGCGGUGAAAUGCGUAGAUAUCAGGAGGAACACCAGUGGCGAAGGCGGCUUUCUGGACGGUAACUGACGCUGAGACGCGAAAGCGUGGGGAGCAAACAGG